AACGAACGCCGGCGGCAGGCCUCAAACAUGCAAGUCUAGGGGGUGCAGCAAUGCAUCACCGGCGGACGGGUGCGUAACACGUGGGAAUAUACCUUUUGGUUCGGAACAACGCAGGGAAACUUGCGCUAAUACCGAAUGUGCCCUUACGGGGAAAGAUUUAUCGCCAAAGGAUUAGCCCGCGUCCGAUUAGCUAGUUGGUG
This 200-nucleotide ribosomal RNA is filed under the name uncultured bacterium. RNAcentral describes it as "partial 16S ribosomal RNA". It matches the Rfam family "Bacterial small subunit ribosomal RNA", at positions 29 to 254 of the family's 1533-position model. The record is from RNAcentral.